RNAcentral lists this ribosomal RNA (1457 nucleotides) under Streptococcus thermophilus. RNAcentral's name for it is "bacterial SSU rRNA". It matches the Rfam family "Bacterial small subunit ribosomal RNA". The record is from RNAcentral. Lineage: Bacteria; Bacillati; Bacillota; Bacilli; Lactobacillales; Streptococcaceae.
GGGGCAGUGCGGGAUGCUAUACAUGCAGUAGAACGCUGAAGAGAGGAGCUUGCUCUUCUUGGAUGAGUUGCGAACGGGUGAGUAACGCGUAGGUAACCUGCCUUGUAGCGGGGGAUAACUAUUGGAAACGAUAGCUAAUACCGCAUAACAAUGGAUGACACAUGUCAUUUAUUUGAAAGGGGCAAUUGCUCCACUACAAGAUGGACCUGCGUUGUAUUAGCUAGUAGGUGAGGUAAUGGCUCACCUAGGCGACGAUACAUAGCCGACCUGAGAGGGUGAUCGGCCACACUGGGACUGAGACACGGCCCAGACUCCUACGGGAGGCAGCAGUAGGGAAUCUUCGGCAAUGGGGGCAACCCUGACCGAGCAACGCCGCGUGAGUGAAGAAGGUUUUCGGAUCGUAAAGCUCUGUUGUAAGUCAAGAACGGGUGUGAGAGUGGAAAGUUCACACUGUGACGGUAGCUUACCAGAAAGGGACGGCUAACUACGUGCCAGCAGCCGCGGUAAUACGUAGGUCCCGAGCGUUGUCCGGAUUUAUUGGGCGUAAAGCGAGCGCAGGCGGUUUGAUAAGUCUGAAGUUAAAGGCUGUGGCUCAACCAUAGUUCGCUUUGGAAACUGUCAAACUUGAGUGCAGAAGGGGAGAGUGGAAUUCCAUGUGUAGCGGUGAAAUGCGUAGAUAUAUGGAGGAACACCGGUGGCGAAAGCGGCUCUCUGGUCUGUAACUGACGCUGAGGCUCGAAAGCGUGGGGAGCGAACAGGAUUAGAUACCCUGGUAGUCCACGCCGUAAACGAUGAGUGCUAGGUGUUGGAUCCUUUCCGGGAUUCAGUGCCGCAGCUAACGCAUUAAGCACUCCGCCUGGGGAGUACGACCGCAAGGUUGAAACUCAAAGGAAUUGACGGGGGCCCGCACAAGCGGUGGAGCAUGUGGUUUAAUUCGAAGCAACGCGAAGAACCUUACCAGGUCUUGACAUCCCGAUGCUAUUUCUAGAGAUAGAAAGUUACUUCGGUACAUCGGUGACAGGUGGUGCAUGGUUGUCGUCAGCUCGUGUCGUGAGAUGUUGGGUUAAGUCCCGCAACGAGCGCAACCCCUAUUGUUAGUUGCCAUCAUUCAGUUGGGCACUCUAGCGAGACUGCCGGUAAUAAACCGGAGGAAGGUGGGGAUGACGUCAAAUCAUCAUGCCCCUUAUGACCUGGGCUACACACGUGCUACAAUGGUUGGUACAACGAGUUGCGAGUCGGUGACGGCGAGCUAAUCUCUUAAAGCCAAUCUCAGUUCGGAUUGUAGGCUGCAACUCGCCUACAUGAAGUCGGAAUCGCUAGUAAUCGCGGAUCAGCACGCCGCGGUGAAUACGUUCCCGGGCCUUGUACACACCGCCCGUCACACCACGAGAGUUUGUAACACCCGAAGUCGGUGAGGUAACCUUUGGAGCCAGCCGCCUAAGGUGACAGAAAGUGGG